RNAcentral lists this long non-coding RNA (4167 nucleotides) under Salmo salar (Atlantic salmon). Its description in RNAcentral is "lncRNA (ENSSSAG00000105641.1)". Lineage: Eukaryota; Metazoa; Chordata; Actinopteri; Salmoniformes; Salmonidae. The record is from RNAcentral.
CACAGUCACACACUUAGCAGCCGAGGAGAGAGAGGAAGGACAGCUGUGAAAACUACAGCUGGAAAAUGAGUCGGAAGCACAGUAGCAUUUGGAUGCAUUUUAAUAAUGUAGACACAGUGCACAGUGUAGAAUUUGCCAAAACAAAAUCUCACAUAAAGCCGGUUCUACGCACAACCUACACCGGCAUAUGCGAACUGUGCACCCAACUGUGAAGCUAGCUGUAGCGGCGCUUCGAGAAACUAGCGGGCCUGCUAGUGAUAGUGGUGGAGCCAGCACACGUGUUUAUAUACAUUAAAAAGUUAUACUUUAAAUGCAAAUGCUUAAUAGCAUUCUUUUUCAUAACAAACCAAUGCAUUUCUAAAUACAUUGUGGUCAAGGUAGAGUAUGAUUUCAUUUAAUAAUUUAAUUCGAGUUGUUUUAACACCAAUCAUAGUCAAACUAUCGCAAACUGACUUGAAAAAAUACAACAACAAAAAAUUUAAAGAGCCGUUUGGGAGCCUAAAGAGCAGGCUCUUUUUGAUGAGCUGAGCCGAACGAGCCGGCUCACUGAAAAGAGCCGGAAUUCCCAUCACUAAUAACUGUACAGUUUUACUUGACACUCCCAUCCAGAGCAAUCACAGGAGCAACCAGGGUCAAGCGCCCCGCCCAAGGGCACAUCAACAAAUCUCCCAAGUCAAAUCGGGGACCCAAACCACAGAACAAGCUCCCAACUGCCAGGCCACCAACCAUCCAAGAUCCCCCCCACAGUUCCCUCGAGCUGCCCCUCAACCAUCCGAGACUCCCCCUACACUGAACAAAAAUAUAAACACAACAUUCAACAAUUUCAAAUAUUUUACAGAGUUACAGUUCAUAUAAGGAAAUCAGUCAAUUGAAAUAAAUUCAUUAGGCCCUAAUCCAGUUGCGUAAAGUACUUCAGUAAAAACAACUUUAAAGUACUACUUAAGUAGUUUUUUGGGGUAUCUGUACUUUUCUUUACUAUUUAUAUUUUUUGCCUACUUUUACUUCACUACAUAUCUAAAGAAAAUAAUGUACUUUUUACUCCACACAUUUUCCCUGACACCCAAAAUUACAUUUUCACAGGAAAAUGGUCCAAUUCACACACUUAUCAAGAGAACAUCCCUGGUCAUCCCUACUACCUCUGAGCUGGCAGACAAAUUAUGCCUCAGUGUUGGAGUGUGCCCCUGGCUAUCCGUAAAUACUUCUUUUUUUUAACAAGAAAAUUGUACUUUCUGGUUUACAUAAUAUAAGGAAUUUGACGUUAUUAAUACUUUUACUUUUGAUACUGAAGUAUAUUUAAAACCUUACUCCGGUAGUAUUGUACUGGGUGACUUUCACUUUUACUUGAGUCGUUUUCUAUUAAGGUAUCUUUACCUUUACUCAAGUAUGACAGUUGAGUCCUUUUUCUGCCACUGCCCUAAUCUAUGGAUUUCACAUGACUGGGAAUACAGACAUGCAACUGUUGGUCAGUAUCUGGUGUGACCACCAUUUGCCUCAUGCAACGUGACACAUCUCCUUCGCAUAGAGUUGAUCAGGCUGUUGAUUGUGGAAUGUUGUCCCACUCCUUUUCAAUGGCUGUACAAAGUUGCUGGAUAUUGGCGGGAACUGGAACAUGCUGUCAUACACGUCGAUCCCAAACAUGCUCAAUGGGUGACGUGUGGUGAAUAUGCAGGCCAUGGAAGAACUGGGACAUUUUCAGCUUCCAGGAAUUGUGUACAGACCAUAGCGAAAUGGGACUGUGAAUUAUCAUGCUGAAACAUGAGGUGAUGACAGCGGAUGAAUGGCACGACAGUAGGCCUCAGGAUCUCAUCAUGGUAUCUGUGCAUUCAAAUUACCAUCGAUAUAAUGCAAUUGUGGUCAUUGUCUGUAGCUUGUGCCUGCCCAUACCAUAACCACACCGCCAUCAUGGUUCACAAUGUUGAAAUCAGCAAACCUGUUAUGUGAAUUUUGUUAUCAAUGUUCAUUAACUUAAAUGAAUCUACUCAGUCUGCAACCCAGAGUUUGUAAGAUUCUGGUUGAAUGAAACAGAAGAGAGUCCCAGCUUACAAUAGUCAAAAUGUUUAUUCACGAGGGCACUCUGAAGUUCAUUAUACAAAGACAUCCAUUUUAUAGUUCACUUCCUACCUAUGCACAUACAUCCACACAAACAGUAGAUAUCCUACACACAUACAUACACACGAACAGUAGGUGAGUUGUGUGCUUCUCUAGAGUUCUCACCACUGUGUAUCACUACCCAGCGCUGUCCGUUCCAUUCCCCCGAGAUUAGAGAAACCUUGAGAAGUACUCCCUGUCCUAUCAUAAGUUUCUCAGAGUUCUAGCCAGGUCGAGCCAAACACAGUUUUAAUUGUUCUCGGUAUUUUCUUCGGCACACACAUACACACAUUUAUCUACCUCCCAGUCCAACCUAGUUGGACUUAUGUUUAAUACUUUAAUUAUUCAUUAUACAUGCUACAUGAACAACUAUUUACUAAUUAGUUACGUUUCAGGGUAGAAUUAUUUAAACAUAUAAAUUAUUUUAUCAAAACCACUCGACGACACGGCGCCAUACACGGAGUCUGCGGUUGUGAGGCCGAUUGGAUGUACUGCCAAAUUCACUAAAAUGACAUUGGAGGCGGGUUAAGGUAGAGAAAUUAACAUUUAAUUCUCUGGCAACAGCUCUGGCGGAGAUUCCUACAGUCAGCAUGCCAAUUGCACGCUCCCUCAACUUGAGAUAUCUGUGGCAUUGUGUUGUGUGACAACUGCCCAUUUUAGAGCGGCCUUUUAUGGUCCACAGCACAAGGUGCACCUGUGUAAUGAUCAUGCUGUUUAAUCAGCUUUUUGAUUGGCCACAACUAUCAGGUGGAUGGAUUAUCUUGGCAAAGCAGAAAUGCUCACUAAAAGGGAUGUAAACAAAUUUGUGCAUCAAAUUUGAGAGAGAAGCUUUUUGUGCGUAUGGAACAUUUUUGGGAUCUUAAUUUCAGCUCAUGAAACAUGGGACAAACACUUUGCAUGUUGCGUUUUAUAUUUUUGUUCAGUGUAAAUGCCUCAUGUAGUAUUAGAUCGGUAAUAUUGUUUAAAGAUGCACUAUGCAGAAAUCACUCCACCAUUUCCUGGUUGCUAAAGUUCAAAUAUUUCGCUUAAUUUCAGUUUAUGUGACAAAACCAGUAAGUAUAGUGUAGAGAAUCAUUUUAUCAUCUAAAGCGCCGUAAAAUAUAUUUUCCAUAACCAAAAAUAUUGUAUUUUCAGCUGUUUGAAGCUAGUGUACAAAACCGAAUGUAAAAGACACAAAAACAAUAUUUAAGAACGGGACGCAUAGUAAUAGCCCACAUAUAGUAGAACAGAUUUACGGCUUCUUAGACUUGCUUUCAUUGAGAAUGGCAGAUCUAUAACAUCUAUAAUAUGUGAAUUUGGUUGGGUCACCCAAAAAGUUACAUAGCGCAGAUUUAAGUGAAGUCCCCACCGUGCUUCAGAUUGCAUUAAAAAAAAAUCUGCUCUUAUCAUCACUCUGCAUUAGUGUACACUUUUGUUAACCAUGACUAAACUCUACUGCCUAGGCAGGCACAAACACUACAUGACCAAAAGUAUGUGAUACCUGCUCGUCGAACAUCUCAUUCCAAAAUCAUGGGCAUUAAUAUGUUAGUCCCCUCUUUGCUGCUAUAUCAGCCUACACUCUUCUGGGAAGGCUUUCCACUAGAUGUUGGAACAUUGCUGCGGGGCCUUGCUUCCAUUCAGCCACAAGCAUUAUUGAGGUCGGGCACUGAUGUUGGGCGAUUAGGCCAGGCUCGCAGUCUGCAUUCCAAUUCAUCUCAAAGGUGUUUGAUGAGGUUAAGAUUUUUCUUCACUGGAACUAAUGGGCCUAGCCCGAACCAUAAAAAAACAGCCACCAAACUUUACAGUUCGCACUAUGCAUUGAGCCAGGUAGUGUUCUCCUGGCAUCCGCCAAACCCAGAUUUUGUACCGGUACCCAUUGUAUAUAGUCCUGCUAUUGUUAUUUACUGCUGCUCUUGAAUUAUUUGUUAUUCUUAUCUCUAACUUUUUUGGGGUAUUUUCUUAACUGCAUUGUUGGUUAAGGGCUUGUAAGUAAGCAUUUCACUGUAAGGUCUACACCUGUUGUAUUUGGCUCAUGUGACAAAUAAAAUUUGAUUUGAGUUCUUCAGUAAGGCCAGGAGAAUGAAUGGCUGUGUGUUCGAU